RNAcentral lists this ribosomal RNA (424 nucleotides) under uncultured bacterium. RNAcentral's name for it is "partial 16S ribosomal RNA". It matches the Rfam family "Bacterial small subunit ribosomal RNA", at positions 354 to 795 of the family's 1533-position model. The record is from RNAcentral.
GUGGGGGAUAUUGCACAAUGGGGGAAACCCUGAUGCAGCGACGCCGCGUGAAGGAAGACGUACUUCGGUAUGUAAACUUCUAUCAGCAGGGAAGAAGAUGACGGUACCUGACUAAGAAGCCCCGGCUAACUACGUGCCAGCAGCCGCGGUAAUACGUAGGGGGCAAGCGUUAUCCGGAUUUACUGGGUGUAAAGGGAGCGUAGACGGUGAAGCAAGUCUGAUGUGAAAACCCGGGGCUCAACUCCGGGAUUGCAUUGGAAACUGUUUUACUUGAGUGCUGGAGGGGCAAGCGGAAUUCCUGGUGUAGCGGUGAAAUGCGUAGAUAUCAGGAAGAACACCGGUGGCGAAGGCGGCUUGCUGGACAGUAACUGACGUUGAGGCUCGAAAGCGUGGGGAGCAAACAGGAUUAGAAACCCUAGUAUCC